UACGGAGGGUGCAAGCGUUAUCCGGAUUCACUGGGUUUAAAGGGUGCGUAGGUGGGUUGGUAAGUCAGUGGUGAAAUCUCCAGGCUUAACUUGGAAACUGCCAUUGAUACUAUCAAUCUUGAAUACCGUGGAGGUCAGCGGAAUAUGUCAUGUAGCGGUGAAAUGCUUAGAUAUGACAUAGAACACCAAUUGCGAAGGCAGCUGGCUACACGAAUAUUGACGCUGAUGCACGAAAGCGUGGGGAUCAAACAGG
RNAcentral lists this ribosomal RNA (253 nucleotides) under uncultured bacterium. RNAcentral's name for it is "partial 16S ribosomal RNA". It matches the Rfam family "Bacterial small subunit ribosomal RNA", at positions 524 to 776 of the family's 1533-position model. The record is from RNAcentral.